This 415-nucleotide unclassified non-coding RNA is filed under the name Hevea brasiliensis (rubber tree). The record is from RNAcentral. Lineage: Eukaryota; Viridiplantae; Streptophyta; Magnoliopsida; Malpighiales; Euphorbiaceae.
GAGAAUAUGCUGAUGGGACUUUGACCGAAAUUUUCAUUGAAAGAGUAUUUGAUGAGCAUGUUCGACGAAGCAAAGGUGGAGGAAACACAAGGGAGAUGGACUUCGAUAGUUUUCUGGACUUUGUCCUUGCCCUUGAAAACAAAGACACUCCGGAAGGGUUGACAUAUUUAUUUCGGUGUCUUGAUCUUCAUGGGAGGGGUUACCUUACAACCGUGGAUAUUCAUACUCUUUUCAGAGAUGUGCAUCAGAAAUGGAUAGAGGGUGGAAACUAUGAGUUGUGCAUUGAAGAUGUUAGAGAUGAGAUAUGGGACAUGGUUAAGCCAGUUGACCCUCUAAAAAUUACUUCGACUGAUCUACUGAACUGCAAGCAAGGUGGCACGGUUGCGAGCAUGCUAAUUGACGUUCGUGGUUUCUG